This 299-nucleotide long non-coding RNA is filed under the name Homo sapiens (human). RNAcentral's name for it is "HSALNT0121029". Lineage: Eukaryota; Metazoa; Chordata; Mammalia; Primates; Hominidae. The record is from RNAcentral.
CCUAUCCUGGAAAAGAAAAGAAACGUCAUGGUAAAAAAACAACUGCGGUUUUUGUGAACACCUACUACGGUGUAGCAAACCACCAUGGCACAUGUUUACCUAUGUAACAAACCUGCACAUUCUGAACAUGGACCUCGGAACUUAAAAAAAGAAGAUAAAAGGCUUGAGCGAGCCUGUUUGCCCCUUCCACCAUGCGAGGACACAUACAAGGCACCAUCUAUGAGGAACGAGCUCCCAACGAGCUCCCAACAGAUGCUGAUUUUGCUGGUGUCUCGAUCUUGGACAACCUCCAGAAUUGU